UGGGGAAUAUUGCACAAUGGGCGCAAGCCUGAUGCAGCCAUGCCGCGUGUGUGAAGAAGGCCUCGGUUGUAAAGCACUUUCAGCGAGGAGGAAGGUGGUGAACUUAAUACGUUCAUCAAUUGACGUUACUCGCAGAAGAAGCACCGGCUAACUCCGUGCCAGCAGCCGCGGUAAUACGGGGGGUGCAAGCGUUAAUCGGAAUUACUGGGCGUAAAGCGCACGCAGGCGGUUUGUUAAGUCAGAUGUGAAAUCCCCGGGCUCAACCUGGGAACUGCAUUUGAAACUGGCAAGCUAGAGUCUCGUAGAGGGGGGUAGAAUUCCAGGUGUAGCGGUGAAAUGCGUAGAGAUCUGGAGGAAUACCGGUGGCGAAGGCGGCCCCCUGGACGAAGACUGACGCUCAGGUGCGAAAGCGUGGGGAGCAAACAGGAUUAGAUACCCUGGUAGUCCACGCUGUAAACGAUGUCGAUUUUGGAGGUUGUGCCCCUUGAGGCGUGGCUUCCGGAGCUAACGCGUUAAAUCGACCGCCUGGGGAGUACGGCCGCAAGGUUAAAACUUAAAUGAAUUGCGGGUCUAGCUGUUCC
RNAcentral lists this ribosomal RNA (581 nucleotides) under uncultured bacterium. RNAcentral's name for it is "partial 16S ribosomal RNA". It matches the Rfam family "Bacterial small subunit ribosomal RNA", at positions 355 to 936 of the family's 1533-position model. The record is from RNAcentral.